GACGAACGCUGGCGGCGUGCUUAACACAUGCAAGUCGAACGGUGAAGCGCCUUCCUUUUUGGUGGGUGUGGAUGAGUGGCGAACGGGUGAGUAAUACGUGAGUAACCUGCCCCCUUCUUCUGGAUAACCGCAUGAAAGUGUGGCUAAUACGGGAUAUUCUGGGUCUGUCGCAUGAUGGGUCUGGGAAAGGUUUUUUUCUGGUGGGGGAUGGGCUCGCGGCCUAUCAGCUUGUUGGUGGGGUGAUGGCCUACCAAGGCGGUGACGGGUAGCCGGCCUGAGAGGGUGGACGGUCACACUGAGACUGAGACACGGCCCAGACUCCUACGGGAGGCAGCAGUGGGGAAUAUUGCACAAUGGGCGCAAGCCUGAUGCAGCGACGCCGCGUGAGGGAUGGAGGCCUUCGGGUUGUGAACCUCUUUCGCCAGUGAAGCAGGCCUGCCUCGUU
Molecule: ribosomal RNA, 445 nt
Filed under: Actinomyces sp. oral taxon E75
Lineage: Bacteria; Bacillati; Actinomycetota; Actinomycetes; Actinomycetales; Actinomycetaceae
Description: bacterial SSU rRNA
Rfam family: Bacterial small subunit ribosomal RNA
Source: RNAcentral